This 469-nucleotide ribosomal RNA is filed under the name bacterium W15M8. RNAcentral describes it as "bacterial SSU rRNA". It matches the Rfam family "Bacterial small subunit ribosomal RNA", at positions 74 to 546 of the family's 1533-position model. The record is from RNAcentral.
GCUUGCUACUUUGCUGACGAGCGGCGGACGGGUGAGUAAUGCUUGGGAACAUGCCUUGAGGUGGGGGACAACAGUUGGAAACGACUGCUAAUACCGCAUAAUGUCUACGGACCAAAGGGGGCUUCGGCUCUCGCCUUUAGAUUGGCCCAAGUGGGAUUAGCUAGUUGGUGAGGUAAUGGCUCACCAAGGCAACGAUCCCUAGCUGGUUUGAGAGGAUGAUCAGCCACACUGGGACUGAGACACGGCCCAGACUCCUACGGGAGGCAGCAGUGGGGAAUAUUGCACAAUGGGCGCAAGCCUGAUGCACCCAUGCCGCGUGUGUGAAGAAGGCCUUCGGGUUGUAAAGCACUUUCAGUCAGGAGGAAAGGUUAGUAGUUAAUACCUGCUAGCUGUGACGUUACUGACAGAAGAAGCACCGGCUAACUCCGUGCCAGCAGCCGCGGUAAUACAGAGGGUGCGAGCGUUAAUC